RNAcentral lists this long non-coding RNA (667 nucleotides) under Olea europaea (common olive). RNAcentral describes it as "long non-coding RNA (OEUR_LNC009486)". The record is from RNAcentral. Lineage: Eukaryota; Viridiplantae; Streptophyta; Magnoliopsida; Lamiales; Oleaceae.
AGAACUCCAGAUCAACUCAGAAAAAACAGAAAUCAGAAUUACAAAAGCAUGAUCCUAGGAAAAACUAAAUUAAAAAAAAAAAUUCUAACACAGACGAAGUAGUGCUAAAUAAUUUAUUAAUUUCUCAAUAAGGUAUCUAAAUUCAAUAAACGAUGAAACGCACACACACAUAUACAUAAUCACAUCUACAGAAUAUUGGAAAACUCACGCGUUCAAUGGAUCAAGAAUUGAAUUUCAGAUUGAUAAGGAAACCCUAGAUUUCGUGAUCGUCUAAAUUGAAGAGAUUUUUCGCCUUUAUCCCCCUAUGUGAAAGAGAGAUAAUUUAGAAGGAAAUCGAUGGAAGAAAAAUGGAACAUGGAGAUAUUUCCUUCGUCGCUUUGUGGAGCGUGACGUCAGUUUGAUGAGUGGGUCCCAUACCGUAAAGAUCUCUAAUUUAUUUAAUAAAAACGACCAAAAUAUUUAAAUUAAUAAAUAAAUAAAGGAAAACUCUCGUGAUACAUAAAGAUUGGUACACAAUGGUGACACCAUUAUAUACCGACCCUUAUGUACCCAUAGACCAACCCAUAAAUAAACCGGGAUUUGGAACAAAUUUUACCUUUCUCGUUUCACAAGCAAACGAAGCCUAAAAUGACCUGUCCUGUAGAUCAUUCAUUUCUGACUUCUUUUG